This 403-nucleotide unclassified non-coding RNA is filed under the name uncultured Glomeromycotina. RNAcentral's name for it is "sequence contains 28S rRNA gene". The record is from RNAcentral. Lineage: Eukaryota; Fungi; Glomeromycota.
AGAGUUAAAUAGUACGUGAAAUUGUUGAAAGGGAAACGAUUGAAGCCAGUCGUACUUGCGGGUAAUCAGCCUUUUGGGUGUGAUUAUGUGGAGUUUGAGAAGUUCUCAUCUUUGCAAUAUUCGUGCACUUUGGGUGUACUUGCUCGUGUGGUAGGUUAACAUCAAUUUUGGUCAUCAUAAAAUGGCUGGGGGAAUGUAGCUUCGAUCUCGUAUUGAAGUGUUAUAGCCUUUGGUAGAUGUGAUGAUUGGGAUUGAGGAUUGCAACGGAUACCCUUCGGGCUACCUGUCUGAUCUCUGGGAGUUGCUCUGGUGCUGAAAGCUUGCUUAUGGUAUCAAAGUUGACGUUCAAUAGGUUAGAACGGGUUAAAUUCGUUAAGGAUGUUGACGUAAUGGCUUUAAACGA